CUCCGGUCUUGAAAACCGGUAUAGUUCGCAAAGAACUAUCGAGGGUUCGAAUCCCUCUCUCUCCUUUUCUCGAUGAAUAGAUUUAUGUCUAUAUUGGUUUUGACUGGCCCAGUAUCAUAAAUAUAAAUGGCUCGGCUAGGUGGGAUAGCCGAGCCAGAAAAAAAAUGGAUUAGAUCUAAAUGAGUUGAAAAUAAAAAAAAGGAAAAAGAAAUACUUUUUAAGUAUGACCUGAUCCACCCAAUCAAUAUGUAUUGUAGAAUCAAAUUUAUUUCUACUUUAAAUAUUGGAUCUCUUGUCUCAGUUAGUUAAGAGGAGUCAUGGAAAGAACAGGUUCAAAAUCACGAUCAAUUCCUUUUUCAAAUCCUGCUGCAGCUGCACG
Molecule: unclassified non-coding RNA, 379 nt
Filed under: Hevea brasiliensis (rubber tree)
Lineage: Eukaryota; Viridiplantae; Streptophyta; Magnoliopsida; Malpighiales; Euphorbiaceae
Rfam family: tRNA (bases 1-65)
Source: RNAcentral